UUCCGGUUGAUCCUGCCGGACCCCACUGCUAUCGAGAUGGGACUAAGGUAUGCUAGUCGAACGACCAGAACUAUGUCUGGAAGUGGCACACUGCUCAGUAACACGUAGCUAACCUACCCUUAGGACGUGGAUACCCCCGAGAAAUUGGGGUUAAUCCGCGAUAGGUGUAAUGUCCUGGAAUGGUAUUACGCCUAAAGGUGUAUCAUACAUGUUUGAUAUACGCCUAAGGAUGGGGCUGCGGCCGAUCAGGCUGUUGGUGAGGUAAUGGCUCACCAAACCUUUGACCGGUACGGGCCAUGAGAGUGGUAGCCCGGAGAUGGACACUGAGACAAGGGUCCAGGCCCUAAGGGGCGCAGCAACCGCGAAACCUCCACAAUGCACUCACGUGCGAUGGGGCUAUCUCGAGUGCCACCUGAUGAAGGUGGCUUUUCCUAGGUCUUCAAAGCCUUGGGAAUAAGAGGGGGGCAAGACUGGUGUCAGCCGCCGCGGUAACACCAGCCCCUCGAGUGGUGGGGAUGAUUAUUUGGCCUAAAGCGUCCGUAGCCGGCCGAGCAAGUCUUCCGUUAAAUCCAGCGUCUCAAGCGUUGGACUGCGGGAGAUACUACACGGCUAGAGAGUGGGAGAGGUCAGCGGUAUUCUGGGGGUAGGGGCGAAAUCCUUUGAUCCCCGGAGGACCACCAGUGGCGAAGGCUGCUGACUAGAACACGUCUGACGGUCAGGGACGAAAGCUGGGGUAGCGAACCGGAUUAGA
Molecule: ribosomal RNA, 751 nt
Filed under: uncultured archaeon
Lineage: Archaea
Description: bacterial SSU rRNA
Rfam family: Archaeal small subunit ribosomal RNA
Source: RNAcentral